GACGAACGCUGGCGGCGUGCUUAACACAUGCAAGUCGAACGGAAAGGCCCUGCUUUUGUGGGGUGCUCGAGUGGCGAACGGGUGAGUAACACGUGAGUAACCUGCCCUUGACUUUGGGAUAACUUCAGGAAACUGGGGCUAAUACCGGAUAGGAGCUCCUGCUGCAUGGUGGGGGUUGGAAAGUUUCGGCGGUUGGGGAUGGACUCGCGGCUUAUCAGCUUGUUGGUGGGGUAGUGGCUUACCAAGGCUUUGACGGGUAGCCGGCCUGAGAGGGUGACCGGCCACAUUGGGACUGAGAUACGGCCCAGACUCCUACGGGAGGCAGCAGUGGGGAAUAUUGCACAAUGGGCGGAAGCCUGAUGCAGCAACGCCGCGUGCGGGAUGACGGCCUUCGGGCUGUAAACCGCUUUCGCCUGUGACGAAGCGUGAGUGACGGUAAUGGGUAAAGAAGCACCCGCUAACUACGUG
RNAcentral lists this ribosomal RNA (468 nucleotides) under uncultured bacterium. Its description in RNAcentral is "partial 16S ribosomal RNA". It matches the Rfam family "Bacterial small subunit ribosomal RNA", at positions 28 to 507 of the family's 1533-position model. The record is from RNAcentral.